GAAAACAAUGUAGUAAUGUCAUACAAUAGCUGCAGAUAUAUAUAUAGUCUCGAUCCGUUUUCUUACUGCAAUAAAGUAUCCUAUUUUCUAUAUUUGAGUUUGUUAUGCCGAUUAAAUUUCAAAAAAAAAAAAAAACUUCCAAAGAAAUAUAUAGUGUUACAAUUGUAGCACUAGAUAUAAUAACUUAUGUAAUAUUUCGAUUUUGUUCUGAGACAGAAACGCGAUUAACUCAUUUUCCAGUACAUUAGGCUUGUGAGCAACCAAAAACACAGUGAUUCUGGUUGAGGGUGUACCAAAUUAAAGUAUUACAUAGAUUAUGAAUUAUUAGGACUCACAGUCUAUGUACUUGUAGGACUUAAUUUGUGUUGUACUAGAUUACCUUACCUAUUCCCCUUACCAAUAUAAUAUCCCCUUUGUAUUCAUAAUAUAUAUGAAACAGAUAUGCAACCAUGAGCCUCUGUACAUGAAUGUCAUGCCAGCGAGAAGUGCCAUGAUCUAACCUUUAGGGUUGAGUUUGGUUGAAGUUCAUUUCUUCACAUGACCAAUUUGUGUAUUACCCAAUGACGGACCCCC
RNAcentral lists this long non-coding RNA (573 nucleotides) under Solanum tuberosum (potato). RNAcentral describes it as "long non-coding RNA (STUB_LNC002835)". The record is from RNAcentral. Lineage: Eukaryota; Viridiplantae; Streptophyta; Magnoliopsida; Solanales; Solanaceae.